AACGCUGGCGGAAUGCUUUAACAUGCAAGUCGAGCGGCAGCGCGGGGCAACCUGGCGGCGAGCGGCGAACGGGUGAGUAAUGCAUCGGAACAUGUCCAUUCGUGGGGGAUAGCCCGGCGAAAGCCGGAUUAAUACCGCAUACGCCCUGAGGGGGAAAGUGGGGGACCGCAAGGCCUCACGCGAAUGGGUUGGCCGAUGUCCGAUUAGCUAGUUGGUGAGGUAAAGGCUUACCAAGGCGAUGAUCGGUAGCUGGUCUGAGAGGAUGAUCAGCCACACUGGGACUGAGACACGGCCCAGACUCCUACGGGAGGCAGCAGUGGGGAAUUUUGGACAAUGGGGGCAACCCUGAUCCAGCCAUUCCGCGUGAGUGAAGAAGGCCUUCGGGUUGUAAAGCUCUUUUGUCCGGAACGAAACGGUUAGCGUGAAUAUCGCUGACUACUGACGGUACCGGAAGAAUAAGCACCGGCUAACUACGUGCCAGCAGCCGCGGUAAUACGUAGGGUGCGAGCGUUAAUCGGAAUUACUGGGCGUAAAGCGUGCGCAGGCGGUUUUGUAUGCCAAAUGUGAAAUCCCCGGGCUUAACCUGGGAAUGGCAUUUGGGACUGCAAGGCUUGA
RNAcentral lists this ribosomal RNA (615 nucleotides) under uncultured bacterium. RNAcentral's name for it is "bacterial SSU rRNA". It matches the Rfam family "Bacterial small subunit ribosomal RNA", at positions 32 to 645 of the family's 1533-position model. The record is from RNAcentral.